This 356-nucleotide transfer-messenger RNA is filed under the name Melioribacteraceae. RNAcentral describes it as "BRH-c32 sp001516025 Standard tmRNA". It matches the Rfam family "transfer-messenger RNA". Rfam says of the family: Bacterial tmRNA, also known as 10Sa RNA or SsrA, is named for its dual tRNA and mRNA-like properties. Its role is to liberate the mRNA from a stalled ribosome. To accomplish this part of the tmRNA is used as a reading frame that ends in a translation stop signal. Lineage: Bacteria; Pseudomonadati; Ignavibacteriota; Ignavibacteria; Ignavibacteriales. The record is from RNAcentral.
GGGGGUGAAAUUGGAUUCGACGGAGUUAAUUGUUCUUUGAACUGCGUGUCGUGAUUCCGUGGUCACGUUAAACAACGGCAAAAAUAGUAACUGGCGAAUAUAAUUACGCUUUAGCUGCUUAAUUAAUAAUUAGCAGCCGUUCCUGACUUUCUCUCAUAUCGGGAUUUCAACGAACGUCGAUUAGAUAUGAUAGCUGAAUCGAGUUUCUGGGUAGAGGAGGCGAAUUUUUACCGGAAUAGUUUUAUUGAAGCUCGUCUAUUAGCGUCAAUAAGAUGAAAUUAAAAAUUAGACUACACAUGUAGAAGUUCUCUGAAGGUUUUCAUCGGACGCGGGUUCGACUCCCGCCACCUCCACCA